RNAcentral lists this ribosomal RNA (253 nucleotides) under uncultured bacterium. RNAcentral describes it as "partial 16S ribosomal RNA". It matches the Rfam family "Bacterial small subunit ribosomal RNA", at positions 524 to 776 of the family's 1533-position model. The record is from RNAcentral.
UACAGAGGGGGCAAGCGUUGUUCGGAAUUACUGGGCGUAAAGGGCGCGUAGGCGGCCCGCUAAGUCGAACGUGAAAUCCCCGGGCUCAACCCGGGAACUGCGUCCGAUACUGGUGGGCUUGAAUCCGGGAGAGGGAUGCGGAAUUCCCGGUGUAGUGGUGAAAUGCGUAGAUAUCGGGAGGAACACCAGUGGCGAAGGCGGCUUCCUGGCAUGUUCUUGACGCUGAGGCGCGAAAGCUAGGGGAGCAAACGGG